AGUCGAGCGAAUGGAUUAAGAGCUUGCUCUUAUGAAGUUAGCGGCGGACGGGUGAGUAACACGUGGGUAACCUGCCCAUAAGACUGGGAUAACUCCGGGAAACCGGGGCUAAUACCGGAUAACAUUUUGAACCGCAUGGUUCGAAAUUGAAAGGCGGCUUCGGCUGUCACUUAUGGAUGGACCCGCGUCGCAUUAGCUAGUUGGUGAGGUAACGGCUCACCAAGGCAACGAUGCGUAGCCGACCUGAGAGGGUGAUCGGCCACACUGGGACUGAGACACGGCCCAGACUCCUACGGGAGGCAGCAGUAGGGAAUCUUCCGCAAUGGACGAAAGUCUGACGGAGCAACGCCGCGUGAGUGAUGAAGGCUUUCGGGUCGUAAAACUCUGUUGUUAGGGAAGAACAAGUGCUAGUUGAAUAAGCUGGCACCUUGACGGUACCUAACCAGAAAGCCACGGCUAACUACGUGCCAGCAGCCGCGGUAAUACGUAGGUGGCAAGCGUUAUCCGGAAUUAUUGGGCGUAAAGCGCGCGCAGGUGGUUUCUUAAGUCUGAUGUGAAAGCCCACGGCUCAACCGUGGAGGGUCAUUGGAAACUGGGAGACUUGAGUGCAGAAGAGGAAAGUGGAAUUCCAUGUGUAGCGGUGAAAUGCGUAGAGAUAUGGAGGAACACCAGUGGCGAAGGCGACUUUCUGGUCUGUAACUGACACUGAGGCGCGAAA
Molecule: ribosomal RNA, 718 nt
Filed under: Bacillus cereus
Lineage: Bacteria; Bacillati; Bacillota; Bacilli; Caryophanales; Bacillaceae
Description: bacterial SSU rRNA
Rfam family: Bacterial small subunit ribosomal RNA
Source: RNAcentral